RNAcentral lists this ribosomal RNA (465 nucleotides) under uncultured bacterium. Its description in RNAcentral is "partial 16S ribosomal RNA". It matches the Rfam family "Bacterial small subunit ribosomal RNA", at positions 338 to 795 of the family's 1533-position model. The record is from RNAcentral.
CCUACGGGAGGCAGCAGUGGGGAAUAUUGCGCAAUGGGCGAAAGCCUGACGCAGCGACGCCGCGUGAGGGAUGAAGGUCUUCGGAUCGUAAACCUCUGUCAGCAGGGAAGAACGGUCACUGUGCUAAUCAGCAGUGAAUUGACGGUACCUGCAAAGGAAGCACCGGCUAACUCCGUGCCAGCAGCCGCGGUAAUACGGAGGGUGCGGGCGUUAGUCGGAAUUCCUGGGCGUAAAGCCCUCGUAGGCGGUAUGUCAAGUCACGGGUGAAAUCCCCGCGCUCAACGUGGGAAACGCCUUUGAAACUGGCAAACUUGAGUGUGUGAGAGGAUAGUGGAAUUCCAGGUGUAGGAGUGAAAUCCGUAGAUAUCUGGAGGAACAUCAGUGGCGAAGGCGACUAUCUGGCACAUAACUGACGCUGAGGAGCGAAAGCGUGGGUAGCAAACAGGAUUAGAUACCCCUGUAGUC